Molecule: long non-coding RNA, 2236 nt
Filed under: Homo sapiens (human)
Lineage: Eukaryota; Metazoa; Chordata; Mammalia; Primates; Hominidae
Description: non-protein coding lnc-COX19-3:1
Source: RNAcentral
AGCCAAGAGUAAAGAUGGGCACCUUUCCAGAGGUCACCAGCUCCAGGCUGUAGGCUGAACAGGAGGCCCAGGGCGCAGGUUAUAAUGUCAUGGGGCCAAGGGUCUGGGCAGACCCCAGGAGGGGCGCUGGGUCUAGGGGCAGGGGACAGCCAGGCUGAAGUCUAGACCCAGAGGGCACCCGACGUGGGGCUGGGUGCCAGGCCUGGGCUAUGGGCCCUCUGUUCCAGGGUGCUGGCCCACCCCACGCUCUCCAGAGGACCAGGGCGGCUCCCUGGAGAGCAGUUUUGCUCUCUGCCCACUCUCGGUAGGGGCCACAGCUCCAAGGGCGUUUAUAAACAGAUGAGCCUCCCUUCUCCCACCACCCCAAGACUUGCUUGAGCUACAAAAUAAGGAUCUUCAUAAAAAUAGCACCAUCUGAAAGGAAGGCAAGUUGGCCCAGGCCCCAGCAGCACCAGGGCCACAGAGUGAGCUUGGAUGGCAGCCCCCGACCCUGUCCAGCCCGGCCCGGCCCGGCCCUUCGGCCCUUCGGCCCUUCUCAGGACUUCGCCGGGGGAGGCUGCACCUGCCCUCCCGCAGAGGGGCAGCCCCUGUGUAGCAGCCCCGGCCUCAGCGUGGGCACAGGGGCCAGGCCUGCGGCAGGACUGCUGGGAGCUGAGGUGCCGGGGAGGAGGAAGGGGCUGGGCUCUGGGGGAAGCGGCCCCUCUGUGGGGACCCCAGCCCCUCUGUGGGGACCCCAGCGCUGCAGCCUCCUCAGCCCAAGCCUGUGCCCACCUUUGCCCCUAGGAGAUUGUGGACUGGUUCAAUGCACUCCGAGCUGCUCGCUUCCACUACCUGCAGGUGGCAUUCCCAGGGGCCGGCGACGCAGAUCUGGUGCCAAAGCUCUCCAGGAACUACCUGAAGGAAGGCUACAUGGAGAAGACGGGGCCCAAGCAAACGGAAGGCUUCCGGAAGCGCUGGUUCACCAUGGAUGACCGCAGGCUCAUGUACUUCAAAGACCCCCUGGACGCCUUCGCCCGAGGGGAAGUCUUCAUUGGCAGCAAGGAGAGUGGCUACACGGUGCUGCAUGGGUUCCCGCCGUCCACCCAGGGCCACCACUGGCCACAUGGCAUCACCAUCGUCACGCCCGACCGCAAGUUUCUGUUUGCCUGCGAGACGGAGUCCGACCAGAGGGAGUGGGUGGCGGCCUUCCAGAAGGCGGUGGACAGGCCCAUGCUGCCCCAGGAGUACGCAGUGGAGGCGCACUUCAAGCAUAAACCUUAGCGAGUGCGGCUGGAGGACCACGGACAUUGGACUCACUGUGGCUGGACGGAGGGGACCCGUGGAUGGGGGGGCUCUGGCGUCCUGAGGCCACCUGGCCCCACCUGCUCCUCAGGGCAGCCCGGCGCGGCCAGGUAGGGCCCGAGCUUCAGCUUCCAGGAUGCUUCUCUGGAACCUCAAGGCAGGCAGCCCAGGCCCUGGGCCUGAUCUCUAACCCCGUCAUGCUGCUGCUGACCACACCCAGCCAACCUGCCCCUCCCUGACCCGGGGCCCCCUUUCCUCCAGGGCCCAGUCUGGCUCCCGAGCUCAGACACAGCCCCCAGGAGCCGCCCACCACGGCUGUGGGAACUUCCAGGCCUCAGCGCAGAGCCCUGCUUGGGGCCAGCACGGUGGGCAGCUGCCGGCCGCUGGGGACUGGGCCCUGCUCGCAUGCCGCCCCGCCCUCCCCCCACCUCCACGACUAUUUAUUGAGCGCCUGUUGUGUGUCACGGGGCUAUGAGGGCCGUGGGGUGUUUGGGUGGAUUAUCCACACAGGUCCCGGCCCCUGCCCGGGCUGGAGUUGCCACAGCCUGUGCUCCUGGUCCUCACCUGGAGGGGCCAGCAGGCUGCCGUCCCACCACACGUGGCCUCUGCGCCCAGCACGGUGCUCGCCGACAGUGGUGUCUGAACCCUUGGGGACGAGGGCCUGGGCCGCGGUGAGGCCACCAGAGGCAGGAGUGGCCCUGGGGGUCCCGGGCACUGUCGCGCUUGCUGCAGGCGGCCCAGCCGUGUAUUUAUUUUUCACCUAUCUCCUUCCUGUCAAGGCAGGCCGGGCUCCAGGGCUCCCCUUGCGUGGGGCAUGUAGGUGGGGGAGGCGUCUGCAGGUCACCUGGGGGGCCCAGCCCUCUCCCAGCCUUGCCUGGCUGAGCUGUGUUCCAGGGGAGCCCUGGACAAGCCCUCAUAGGCAGGGAGGGGGUUUCCGAGGCCAGGCAUCCGCCGC